This 260-nucleotide long non-coding RNA is filed under the name Setaria viridis. RNAcentral's name for it is "long non-coding RNA (SVIR_LNC007227)". The record is from RNAcentral. Lineage: Eukaryota; Viridiplantae; Streptophyta; Magnoliopsida; Poales; Poaceae.
UAUGAUCGAUGAGCAGAAAACAAACUUAAGCUUUAGAGAACAGAGGCUUCUCGAUCGAAUUCAAUUGUUGCAUCCCAUGUCGUUGCCGAUUAGAUAAGAAAAAAAAAGGCCAAAUGGGCUUAGAUCAGUGCCCAAUCUAAUUCGUUUACUUGGCAAAUACUCCACACACAAGAUGUUUGAUUAAACGUACGUGAUCUAAAUUAAAUUAUUCUCAACCUUAAUUCGUACAAUAUUAACAAGUAUCUUCCACCCAAUAUUAU